This 468-nucleotide ribosomal RNA is filed under the name uncultured bacterium. RNAcentral's name for it is "partial 16S ribosomal RNA". It matches the Rfam family "Bacterial small subunit ribosomal RNA", at positions 28 to 507 of the family's 1533-position model. The record is from RNAcentral.
GACGAACGCUGGCGGCGUGCUUAACACAUGCAAGUCGAACGGAAAGGCCCUGCUUUUGUGGGGUGCUCGAGUGGCGAACGGGUGAGUAGCACGUGAGUAACCUGCCCUUGACUUUGGGAUAACUUCAGGAAACUGGGGCUAAUACCGGAUAGGAGCUCCUGCUGCAUGGUGGGGGUUGGAAAGUUUCGGCGGUUGGGGAUGGACUCGCGGCUUAUCAGCUUGUUGGUGGGGUAGUGGCUUACCAAGGCUUUGACGGGUAGCCGGCCUGAGAGGGUGACCGGCCACAUUGGGACUGAGAUACGGCCCAGACUCCUACGGGAGGCAGCAGUGGGGAAUAUUGCACAAUGGGCGGAAGCCUGAUGCAGCAACGCCGCGUGCGGGAUGACGGCCUUCGGGUUGUAAACCGCUUUCGCCUGUGACGAAGCGUGAGUGACGGUAAUAGGUAAAGAAGCACCGGCUAACUACGUG